This 47-nucleotide transfer RNA is filed under the name Maurolicus muelleri (pearlsides). Its description in RNAcentral is "partial tRNA-Val". Lineage: Eukaryota; Metazoa; Chordata; Actinopteri; Stomiiformes; Sternoptychidae. The record is from RNAcentral.
CACCUCCCUUACACUGAGAAGAAGCUUGUGUAAAUCAAGCCACCUUG